ACUUACAAUUAUGCCUGUUCAGUAUUACUGAAGUUCUAAACGAAUUUGAUUUGACUACUAACAAAACUAAUCCUUGUCCUGAUAUAAUAUCUAGUAUUUUCUUCACUAAUUGCAAAUUUGUUUUAGCCUCUUCUUUAAUGUAUUUUUCUUAAUUUAUCCCUUCUCACAGGUUGUUUUCCUUGUGAUUUGAAAAUCAGUUUUAUAACUUUGUAACACCUAUCAAAAAAAGGAUUCAUAAAUCCGAGAUUAUAAAUUAUUGACUUAUUUCCUAGAUCUCUAUAAUAUCUAAGAUAUUUGAAUCAAUUGUUUAUAAAAAAAUGUAUGCUAUACUUUCCCCAAUAGUUAAUAAUGAUCAACACGGAUUUUUAAGGGCUAAAUCUACAACUACUAAUCUAGUGAUAUUUCAGAAAUUUAUGUCGGACGCUUUUGAUUUAGAGUAUCAAGUAGAUGAUAUCUAUACUGAUUUUUCAAAGGAUUUCGAUAAAAUUAAUCACAUCUCCUCUCUAAAAGCCUUUAUUCUAUUGGUUUCCGUGAUCGUUUUUAUCUUAGUCGAUUUCUUAUAUCGAAAUAAAAAGCAAAUAGUCAGAGUAAAAAAUUUUCUAAACUCUCUUAAACUUCUAUUCGCUGAUGAUAUGAAAUUAUUUCAGUUAGUAAAAUCCUUCUCUGAUUCUGUUUUCUUGUACGAUGGCUAAAAU
Cinara cedri is the source of this 695-nucleotide non-coding RNA. The record is from the annotation of a GenBank genome assembly. Lineage: Eukaryota; Metazoa; Arthropoda; Insecta; Hemiptera; Aphididae.